Long non-coding RNA from Mandrillus leucophaeus (drill), 143 nucleotides. RefSeq lists it as uncharacterized. The transcript is spliced from 2 exons. Lineage: Eukaryota; Metazoa; Chordata; Mammalia; Primates; Cercopithecidae. The record is from RefSeq and is a predicted model, not a curated record.
AGGACUUAUCAAACUGGUUUCAAAGCACAGAGCUCAAGUAAUUUACACCAGAAAUACCAAGGGCGGAGAUGCUCCAGCUGCUGGUGAAGAUGCAUGAAUAGGUCCAACCAAUUGUACAUUUGGAAAAAUAAAACUUUAUUAAA